CCUACGGGAGACAGCAGUGAGGAAUAUUGGUCAAUGGACGAGAGUCUGAACCAGCCAAGUAGCGUGAAGGAUGACUGCCCUAUGGGUUGUAAACUUCUUUUAUAUGGGAAUAAAAUGUUCCACGUGUGGGAUUUUGUAUGUACCAUAUGAAUAAGGAUCGGCUAACUCCGUGCCAGCAGCCGCGGUAAUACGGAGGAUCCGAGCGUUAUCCGGAUUUAUUGGGGUUAAAGGGAGCGUAGGUGGAUUGUUAAGUCAGUUGUGAAAGUUUGGGGCUCAACCGUAAAAUUGCAGUUGAAACUGGCAGGCUGGAGUACAGUAGAGGUAGGCGGAAUUCGUGGUGUAGCGGUGAAAUGCUUAGAUAUCACGAAGAACUCCGAUGGCGAAGGCAGCUCACUGGACUGCAACUGACACUGAGGCUCGAAAGUGUGGGUAUCAAACAGGAUUAGAUACCCGAGUAGUC
RNAcentral lists this ribosomal RNA (460 nucleotides) under uncultured bacterium. RNAcentral's name for it is "partial 16S ribosomal RNA". It matches the Rfam family "Bacterial small subunit ribosomal RNA", at positions 338 to 795 of the family's 1533-position model. The record is from RNAcentral.